CACGUAGGGAGCAAGCGUUGUCCGGAUUUAUUGGGCGUAAAGAGCUCGUAGGUGGUUCGGUAAGUCAGGUGUGAAACCUCCAGGCUCAACCUGGAGACGCCACUUGAUACUGCUGUGACUGGAGUCCGGUAGGGGAGCGUGGAAUUCCUGGUGUAGCGGUGAAAUGCGUAGAGAUCAGGAAGAACAUCGGUGGCGAAGGCGCUCUGCUGGACCAUAACUGACACUCAGGGACGAAAGCUAGGGGAGCGAAUGGG
This 254-nucleotide ribosomal RNA is filed under the name uncultured bacterium. RNAcentral describes it as "partial 16S ribosomal RNA". It matches the Rfam family "Bacterial small subunit ribosomal RNA", at positions 524 to 776 of the family's 1533-position model. The record is from RNAcentral.